AGGAUGAUCAGCCACACUGGAACUGAGACACGGUCCAGACUCCUACGGGAGGCAGCAGUGGGGAAUAUUGCACAAUGGGGGAAACCCUGAUGCAGCCAUGCCGCGUGUGUGAAGAAGGCCUUCGGGUUGUAAAGCACUUUCAGUAGGGAGGAAGGUAGUGUAGUUAACACCUGCAUUAUUUGACGUUACCUACAGAAGAAGCACCGGCUAACUCCGUGCCAGCAG
RNAcentral lists this ribosomal RNA (225 nucleotides) under Photobacterium damselae. RNAcentral describes it as "partial 16S ribosomal RNA". It matches the Rfam family "Bacterial small subunit ribosomal RNA", at positions 297 to 514 of the family's 1533-position model. Lineage: Bacteria; Pseudomonadati; Pseudomonadota; Gammaproteobacteria; Vibrionales; Vibrionaceae. The record is from RNAcentral.